Molecule: non-coding RNA, 121 nt
Organism: Gossypium hirsutum (cotton)
Lineage: Eukaryota; Viridiplantae; Streptophyta; Magnoliopsida; Malvales; Malvaceae
Source: Rfam
AAUAGUUUUAUGCCACAUCAGUACUCUUAUCCUGAAUUUCAAGAUUUUAUCCUAAAAAAAUCAAAUCCAAAUUAAAAUACUAAAAUUCAGGAUAAGAAUACUGAUGUGGCAUAAAACUAUU